RNAcentral lists this ribosomal RNA (538 nucleotides) under uncultured bacterium. RNAcentral describes it as "bacterial SSU rRNA". It matches the Rfam family "Bacterial small subunit ribosomal RNA", at positions 956 to 1503 of the family's 1533-position model. The record is from RNAcentral.
GAUACGCGAUGAACUUUACCCGGGCUCAAACGGUGAUUGAUUCAGGCAGAGACGCCUGUUUCCCACGGGACACUCCCCGAGGUGCUGCAUGGUUGUCGUCAGCUCGUGCCGUGAGGUGUCGGCUUAAGUGCCAUAACGAGCGCAACCCCCGCGUGCAGUUGCUAACAGAUAACGCUGAGGACUCUGCACGGACUGCCGGCGCAAGCCGCGAGGAAGGCGGGGAUGACGUCAAAUCAGCACGGCCCUUACGUCCGGGGCGACACACGUGUUACAAUGGGUGGUACAGCGGGAAGCCAGGCGGCGACGCCGAGCGGAACCCGAAAUCCACUCUCAGUUCGGAUCGGAGUCUGCAACCCGACUCCGUGAAGCUGGAUUCGCUAGUAAUCGCGCAUCAGCCAUGGCGCGGUGAAUACGUUCCCGGGCCUUGUACACACCGCCCGUCAAGCCAUGGGAGCCGAGGGCGCUUGAAGUGCGUCGCCGCGAGGCGCGCCCUAGAGCGAAAUCGGUGACUGGGGCUAAGUCGUAACAAGGUAACCGU